UUUUCUAAUAAUUUUUUUUUUUUUUUUUUGAGACAGAGUCUCGCUCUGUCACCCAGGCUGGAGUGUAGUGGCACGAUCUUGGCUUACUGCAACCUCUGCCUCCCAGGAUCAAGCCAUUCUCCUUCCUCAGCCUCCAGAGUAUCUGGGACUACAGGCACACGCCAUCAUGCCCAGCUAAUUUUUGUAUUUUUAGUAGAGAUGGAGAUUUCACUAUGCUGGCUAGGCUGGUCAUCUUGAAUUCCUGACCUCAAGUGGUCCACCUGCCUGGGCCUCCCAAAGUGCUAGGAUUCCCAGCAUGAGCCACCGCACCUGGCCUGUAUCUCUAAUAAUUUAAAUACUGAUGCAGUUUCUUCAGAGUGUUGUCUACACCUGGAAAACUGAGGUCGGUAAAGUAAGCAAGUAUAAUGCAUAAUUUAGUUUCAAUGUUUUCAUUAAUAUGAUACCAUACCAUUGUGAACACUUGUAUUUGGUUGCAUGGCUAACAACUACCUUUUGGAUUUUUCAUGUUAGAAUGAAAAAAAUGCAUGGCAUACAUCACCAAGAAUCAAAGGUUGUGCCUGGCAGUGUAAUUGACUAUGUAAUAAAGAGAGAAGCUUUGCUAGGUGAGUGGACAGCAUAAUGAGAGGCUUUGUUCACAUCUGCAGAAAUGCAUUUUCGUUAAACACCUGUGUUAAGCACAAGCACAUAAGGCACAGUGAUAGAUGGAUGUAAAACAUGGGUAGAUGAUGUCCUUGUAUGAGAUUCUACAAAGACUCCGAUGUGUUGAGGUUUGGAAGCAUUCAGGCAGCCUCCUGGCACUAUUGGCUAUGCUGCUAAUGAGAUUACAGGCAGGGCAUGAUUUCAUUCCAUGUAAUAUUUUUGUCAUUAGGAAGAGGCAAGUUAUUUUUACCUGUCAAUUUCUGUUUUUUGAAAUUGAAAAAUUCUCAGGUACGAAUCCCAAAAGACUUUACAUGCAACCUCCAUGUCCUAUUCAGGACUGUUCAAGGAGAAGACAGAAACACCAUGUUUAGAGGUCAUUGGUCCAUCUACUCUAGAAACUUCCCCUUGGCAGUGGUCCCUGCCUAUGUUACAGAAGACGGCAAAAAUACGAGCCAUCGUGCAUCUGGCCAGUUCUGCAAUGCUCUAUCCCAGGGGGAAAUUCCUUCCUCACUCCAGCUGGUGAACAGCUAUGCCCUGGAGCCCAGGACGGACAUGCCUUGUAACUUUUUAACUUAGUUAGUGUAACUACCAAUAUUAUUCCUAUUCAUAUAAAUGUCUAAUCCUUUCUUGAAUCUUGCUAGACUAUUUGCCUCAAUAAUAUCCUGCGGCACUGAAUUCCACAGGUAGAUUAUACGCUGCUUUAAAAAGUAUUUCCUUUUCUUGGUUUUAAAUUUGUUGCUUUUUAAUGUCACAAAAUAGCCCUUGUUCUUGCAUUAAGUGGCACAGGAUAGAAGCAUUACAAAUGGACCCUUAUUUCUUCCAAGCAGUUUCUUCACUAAUAUUAAAACCCUAUUUUCUUCAUAUAUUUUCUAUUUUGGCAUAUAUAAUCUUGAUUUAAUGAAAUGAUUUAUGUAAUUAGUCUCACACUAUUUUAUGAACAUAGUAGGCACUGGUAAAAAGCUUUCCUUGGCAUUCAGUGUCAUUUAUUGGACAAAUAUUUAUUGAGCAUCUAUUAUGUGCAAGAACUGUUCUAAUUUUGGAGAGUCAGCUUCACAUAAGACUGGGUCAUUUUUCUGAAGGACUUACUUUUCUAGAGAAGGAGAUAAGCAGUAAUAUAGUGAAUAAAUCUAUGAACCUCAUGGUUUCAGAUGGUAUUAAGUAUUACGGGAAGAUUGAAAGGUGGCUGGAGCCGAUUUGCAUUGCACAGUCAGGGAGUGGCUCUCUGAAAAGAGGACAGUUGCCAUCAGCUGUCAAGGAGCCCCUUAUGUGAAAUCUCCAUGAAGGUGAACUCCAGCUCCGAAACAAUGCCCAGUAGUUGUUGAGGCUCAAUCAUUAUUUGUUGAGUGCAUAAAUGAAUUAAGGUUGAGAAGGAAAGCCUUAGUUACUAAAAUCACCAGGAAUUUACUCAGUGGAUUCAGGGGGAUCAUUUCUUGAAUCCCCGUGUUCUGUAACUCCCAACACUGUGGGAAUAAACAAAGCAGGGGCUGUAGUUAGUUAGACUGGGUUUCAAGACCUGACCAUGGUCCCCAGCUUACCAGCUGUGUGUCCUUGGGCAAGUUACCUAAUUGCUCUCAUCCACAGAACCCUCCUUUAUAAAAAUGAGAGUAAACUUUCUUCCUUCAUGGGAGUUGGAGGUUUGAAGGCAAAGUUAACGUGGAAGUUCUUUUUAAACUGCCAAAUGGUGUAGAGGUGUGGUUAUUCUUGAGGGAACCAGCUGUUCCCAGUGUCAGGCUCUGCUCUUUCAUUUUUCCCUCGUUCCCUUCCUCAUGUUCUGCUUCCUUCCAUUCCCUAGUUUAUCCCUGCCCCUGCCUAAAGCCCACCAGGGCAUCCAUGGGACUUAGCUUUCUGUCCCGGAGGUGGCUCAAGCAGGGUGGACAUACCUUUCUGAAAUUCUUAUCUAUGUCUUAGGAACUUUUACAGUGGAGCUGUUGUGUAUUGAUGCAGCGGACUGGAUGUGGCUUUCGAAUAGUGAUUGUCUGCUUUUAUUUUGUUUACUGCUUAAUCUGCUGGGGUCAAGUUACCGAAACUUCUACGUAUAAAGACAGUCCUUGCCUGAAUUUCCGAGGGAAUCUUGCCCCAGAAAUCAAGCCUUUGGUUGCAACGGGCUGCCUGGCUGCCUUCGGCUUCCCUCUGUGUUCCAGCCUGACUGGCAUAUGCAUACACUGUUUCCUCAUGUUGCCUCUUGUUAUUCUUUUUAAUUGUCCCUUAAUGUACGUUUUUUUUUUCGUUUAGGCAAUUUGAAAUAGAGCAUGUGCAGCUCUGCAUAAUAAUAUAUGAUAGGAAACAUUUCAAGGAAUAAAUUAUUAGAAUUGUUUACAUGCAUGGUUCAAAUUUACUGGCAAAUUGCUUAGGCCUCAGUUUUAUGAUGUAGCUGCCAGCUAGGCUCCUUCAGGGUGAAACUCUGAAAUAGGAGAAGCUGCCCAGCGCUGUCCCUUCCCAGCACUUCCUCUCCUUGUUCCUGCCCUUUCAACACCUCCCUCCUUUCCCGCCCCCAAAUAACUCUGUGGAGCUGCCAGGCCUUUUGCACCUUAAUGUGAAGACAUUUCGUGGGUCCUCCCCGGACCCGCCCCCAGCAAAGGUGAGGUGCGCAAAGGAAUAAAUCUCCAAUGGUGUAAUUUUAGACACUGUGGCAACUGGGCAGCGCGGCUAUUUUUGGCCAUGGGGCUUUCUCCUUGACCUGAGAUGAUAUUGCCUGGCUGCUGCCAGUGCACCCGGCCAACCCUGCACGCGGUCCUUUUCGCAACGUGUUUGCCAUUCCUGGGGGCUGGCUUCUUCCUCUUUCUGUCAAGCAGCUCUGUGCUCAUGCACGAUGCUGUGUGUUUGAGCAAGGGUGUGAAGCGGUCGACGCGUGCCCACCUAGGCUUGCCCCAGGGUGACACUCUCAGGCAGUGGUCAGGCCACCUCUGAGGGGCAACGCAGAUGGAACAGACGUCCUUUCACAUUGGGGGUGGGGGAAGAUUUCCGGUCCAGUUUCUGGGUCUCCCUCAGCCUCCAUACUUGAUCAGCUGCUCAGCGACCAUUCUAUGAGUCACUCCUUCUCUGGGUAAGGCGAGCCAGGCAGCCUCCAGGCCACAGGGUUCAUGCAUUCCCGCCCACACUGCUUCAUUUGAAGCCGCAUCCUCACAGAGAUUCUUCUGACCACCCGGCUUGCUGUCUUCCCACUCAAGCUCCUCAUGCAGCUGCUGUCUACAGACCCCCUGGACUGCCUGGGGAAGUGAGUCGGAGCUCCUGCAGCAGAGGGGUGGAACAGCUACACGAAGAUCCGAAGGUGGCCAAAAAUAACAGCGCUUUCCAGAUGAGGGUAAUGUUAUAGCCAAGAUCAUCGCUGGGGUAGGGUGUCUUGUUCUUUGUUUUACAACCUAAAAAGUACACAGAAGACUCAAAGAUCAUUCAGGAAGGAGGAAUCAAGUCAGUACAGAACAGAGAAAUGGGAGCAGUUAAAAACAAAGGAAUUGAGUUUCUUUAUGCCAAAAGAGAGAAAACAGAGGCCUUUUAUAGAUAGAGAGAGAGCCCUGGCUAUCUGGAUGGAAGAUCUGUUUUCUCCAGCUUCCAUGGCCGC
Long non-coding RNA from Homo sapiens (human), 4198 nucleotides. Ensembl annotates it as NR2F2 antisense RNA 1. Its record names the gene NR2F2-AS1. The record is from Ensembl. Lineage: Eukaryota; Metazoa; Chordata; Mammalia; Primates; Hominidae.